UUGUAAUUUGUAGAAUUUGCCUUUGAUUAGGUCCUUGUCUAUGUUCCUUGGAACAGGACGUCAUAGAGGGUGAGAAUCCCGUUUGGCGAGGAUACCUUUUCUCUGUAAUACUUUUUCGAAAAGUCGAGUUGUUUGGGAAUGCAGCUCAAAGUGGGUGGUAAAUUCCAUCUAAAGCUAAAUAUUGGCGAGAGACCGAUAGCGAACAAGUACAGUGAUGGAAAGAUGAAAAGAACUUUGAAAAGAGAGUGAAAAAGUACGUGAAAUUGUUGAAAGGGAAGGGCAUUUGAUCAGACAUGGUGUUUUUUUAAUGCGCAAGUCUCUCGUGCACAUGUGCCUCUGGAAAUUAACACUGGGCCAACAUCAGUUCUGGCGGCAGGAUAAGUCAUUACUAAUGUAGCUACCUCGGUAGGGUUAUAGCUUUUUGGAAUACUGCCAGCUGGGAUUGAGGACUGCGCUUCCGCAAGGAUGUUGGCAUAAUGGUUAAAUGCCGCCCGUCUUGAAACCACGAACCAAUCCCGAC
Molecule: ribosomal RNA, 520 nt
Filed under: Hanseniaspora uvarum
Lineage: Eukaryota; Fungi; Ascomycota; Saccharomycetes; Saccharomycodales; Saccharomycodaceae
Description: eukaryotic LSU rRNA
Rfam family: Eukaryotic large subunit ribosomal RNA
Source: RNAcentral